ACGGGUGAGUAACACGUGGAUAACCUACCUAUAAGACUGGGAUAACUUCGGGAAACCGGAGCUAAUACCGGAUAACAUAUUGAACCGCAUGGUUCAAUAGUGAAAGGCGGCUUUGCUGUCACUUAUAGAUGGAUCCGCGCCGUAUUAGCUAGUUGGUAAGGUAACGGCUUACCAAGGCAACGAUACGUAGCCGACCUGAGAGGGUGAUCGGCCACACUGGAACUGAGACACGGUCCAGACUCCCACGGGAGGCAGCAGUAGGGAAUCUUCCGCAAUGGGCGAAAGCCUGACGGAGCAACGCCGCGUGAGUGAUGAAGGUCUUCGGAUCGUAAAACUCUGUUAUCAGGGAAGAACAAAUGUGUAAGUAACUGUGCACAUCUUGACGGUACCUGAUCAGAAAGCCACGGCUAACUACGUGCCAGCAGCCGCGGUAAUACGUAGGUGGCAAGCGUUAUCCGGAAUUAUUGGGCGUAAAGCGCGCGUAGGCGGUUUUUUAAGUCUGAUGUGAAAGCCCACGGCUCAACCGUGGAGGGUCAUUGGAAACUGGAAAACUUGAGUGCAGAAGAGGAAAGUGGAAUU
Molecule: ribosomal RNA, 579 nt
Filed under: uncultured bacterium
Lineage: Bacteria
Description: bacterial SSU rRNA
Rfam family: Bacterial small subunit ribosomal RNA
Source: RNAcentral